RNAcentral lists this ribosomal RNA (465 nucleotides) under uncultured bacterium. Its description in RNAcentral is "partial 16S ribosomal RNA". It matches the Rfam family "Bacterial small subunit ribosomal RNA", at positions 28 to 507 of the family's 1533-position model. The record is from RNAcentral.
GACGAACGCUGGCGGCGUGCUUAACACAUGCAAGUCGAACGGAAAGGCCCUGCUUGCAGGGUACUCGAGUGGCGAACGGGUGAGUAACACGUGGGUGAUCUGCCCUGCACUUCGGGAUAAGCCUGGGAAACUGGGUCUAAUACCGGAUAGGGGCCAUUUUUAGUGUGAUGGUUGGAAAGUUUUUUGGGUGUAGGAUGAGCUGGCGGCCUAUCAGCUUGUUGGUGGGGUAAUGGGCUACCAAGGCGGCGACGGGUGGCCGGCCUGAGAGGGUGGACGGCCACAUUGGGACUGAGGAACGGCCCAGACUCCCACGGGAGGCAGCAGUGGGGAAUAUUGCACAAUGGGCGCAAGCCUGAUGCAGCGACGCCGCGUGGGGGAUGACGGCCUUCGGGUUGUAAACUCCUUUCGCUAGGGACGAAGCUUUUUGUGACGGUACCUAGAUAAGAAGCACCGGCUAACUACGUG